GAAUAAUUGAAUUGAAUAGUGAAUACCCAGUUGCGGAUAGACAAGAUCUGAACUUUAUUUUGAAGCUGAAUCGCUACAUUUUAGGGAUUUUAUCUUAUGGAGACGUGGCGAUCUUCAAAUGGAAGAAGGGGGAGAGGUAGAGGGAGAGGGAGAGGAAGCUAUUCAUCUUUGUAUAAUGCCCGGUCAAACUACACCGGGCCAUCAAACACCUCAAAUAAUUAUACUACUACUAGAAAACCGACAGUGAAUGUUAGCGACAAACUGGAUGAUAACGAUGCUGAAAGCAUCCCAACUUUGAUUGGAACUUGUCCUUUUAUGUGUCCUGUUGACGAAAGGGUACAACGUGAACGGUUAAGAGAUUUAGCUAUCUUUGAGAGAUUAGAUGGAAACCCGUCCAAAUCGUCAUCUACCCUUGCCGUGAAAAAGUUUUGCAGAACCAUCUCCACAAAGGAUGUACGGAGUAUGGACAUUCGCCCCCUUGCGGUAUUGGAAGACACCUUGAAUCACCUUUUAACAGUUUUCGAGUCUAGUGAACACUCUUUUGAAGCUGUUCAUGACUUCAUUUUCGAUAGAACAAGAUCCAUAAGGCAAGACCUCAGUAUGCAGAAUAUAGUUAGCGGGAAUCAAGCUGUUGCAAUAUAUGAAAGAAUUGUGAAAUUUCAUAUUGUCUCUCAUUACAAGCUUAGGAGAAGUCACGAGAGUUCAGAUUCAAAUCCGAAUGCAUCUCCUAUGCAUUACCUCAAUAUGGAACAACUUACAAAGACAUUAGCGUCUUUAUAUCACUUGUAUGACCAAAACUGCAAGUCAAAUCCCGAAUUCUAUUCGUUUUAUGUGCUUCUUCAUCUUGGCUCUGAUCGUCAACCAUCAGGUGAGUCAUUAUCUUUAUGGUUCAGAAGUCUUCCUUUCUCUAUUGUGAAAUCAAAGGAAAUGAUGUUUUCCCGGAGGCUUUUAAGGCAUUUUCGUUUUGGUAACUACAAACAGUUUCUGGAAACAAUAGAUGCUGAAGCAUCUCGUUUGCAGUAUUAUGUUAUUGAACCGUAUAUUUGUGAGGUUCGUGCACUAGGGUUGUCAUGUUUGAAUGAUGGCGGUUAUAAGUUAAAUCCAUAUCCAAUUGAAGACAUAUCUAGAUAUUUGCUCAUGGAAGAAUCUGAUGUUGAAUCCUUUUGCAAAGACUGUGGUCUUGAUAUCUUCACUAGUGAAACAGGAUCGAAAUUCAUGUCUGCCAAGCAAACAAAUUUUGGCUUUUCAAAAGGGUCUCAAAAGUAUUACCCGUUGGUUUCAAAACGGUUACAAAAGUUCACUGAUGAGGUACACUAAAGACUUUAGUUUGGGAAGGAAAUAUUGUGGAAAUGUUGAAAGGAAGUUGAUUCUGGUGAAUGUUUUUCACCACUUAGAUGAUGAAAACUGACAGAAACGAGAAAAUUGUAGUAGAUAUAUUUAUGUAUCUGAGGUAGCUAAAUCUGAUGUAACAAUGAGCUGGAUACAAGGAAAGUUAUUGUGUGUAUGAAUAUGACAUCGUUUGUUGAUUGUGGAGGAACAAGUAGUCGAACUGGUGGAUGUAACUGCAGGGUUUCUUUGAAGACGGCUUCUGGUGGAUCCUCUUUUCAAGUGGUGCCAGAAGCAUAAACUUUACAAUUCUUGUCAGAUGAUGCUGUUAGAGGGGAGAGAGUGGAAGCGGGGAAAGGCAAUCGGGGUCGCGGGGCCGGGCGGGCACACCGCCGCCGGUGUUUUACCGCAGGAGAGAGAAGAAGAAUUUGGGGGAAGAACCCCGAAGGGGGGAAGAGAAGAGAGAAAGGAGGAAAGAGAGAGGAGAGUGGUGAUUGGUGGAGAAGAAAGAGAUGGGGACCCAUGUUUUAAUUUUUUAAUAAAAAACAAUCUCAUGAAAGCUUUGUAUAUAUAUGAGUUUGAACUAUGAAGAAGA
RNA transcript from Erigeron canadensis, 1921 nucleotides. It is a transcript of the gene named SAC3 family protein C, with no coding region annotated. The record is from RefSeq and is a predicted model, not a curated record. The transcript is spliced from 3 exons. Lineage: Eukaryota; Viridiplantae; Streptophyta; Magnoliopsida; Asterales; Asteraceae.